CACGCACCCCUUCUCCACUUCAUGCACAACACCGUACGUACGUAGGCCAAGAAAAUAAAACCAAACACCACCCACCAACGCCUUUCUCUACGCUUUCCUUCUCAUCCAUCGUUUCCAGCCAGACCCAGUUAAGGCCUCAAGGAAAUAGAAAGAAGAAGAGAAAGGCAACAUCGAUCCUAGGAAUUAUCUCUUGAGAAGUCGGACAAAGACAUGGGGCACAAAAUGCGACAGGCUAGCCGAAAGCCACUGCUACUACUUCAACUCGUACUCCUGGUCAUUGUGGCAGCUUCCAAAUUGAUCGGAUGCUCGGCUUUGGAAAGGCAUGACGAGGUCGCCGCAUCUCCACCGGCACCCAAUUCAGAGAUGAACUGCCCGUGUUCUCCCUGCGGUUGCCCCGUAAGUCCGCUGCCACCUCCGCCACCUCCGACGCACCCAACCUCGGAUUGUCCACCUCCGCCACCUCCGACGUAUCUCUAUAUGGAGGGUCCGCCGUCAGAGAAUUCGUAUCCAUUCGCACCCUACUUCCAUAUAUCGGGUGGUCCUCGGAGCUGCACUGCGCUGCUGCCAGUUUACGUGAUGUGUGGGCUGUUCGCAUUGUGGGAGUUCUGGUUGUUGUGAGGUUCCUAGAAUCAUGAAUAGUAUGCCUUUUUUAAUGCACCCAUCUAGAUUUGUUUUCUUUCUUCUCUAAUUGUACCAGGAAAUUUAAAUGAAAUAGAUCUUGUUCUCUGGAUGGUUAUUAUGGAGAAAUAUUCA
RNAcentral lists this long non-coding RNA (753 nucleotides) under Phoenix dactylifera (date palm). Its description in RNAcentral is "long non-coding RNA (PDAC_LNC003607)". Lineage: Eukaryota; Viridiplantae; Streptophyta; Magnoliopsida; Arecales; Arecaceae. The record is from RNAcentral.